Molecule: ribosomal RNA, 255 nt
Filed under: uncultured bacterium
Lineage: Bacteria
Description: partial 16S ribosomal RNA
Rfam family: Bacterial small subunit ribosomal RNA
Source: RNAcentral
UACGAAGGGUGCAAGCGUUACUCGGAAUCACUGGGCGUAAAGCGUGCGUAGGCGGUUCGUUAAGUCUGCUGUGAAAGCCCUGGGCUCAACCUGGGAACUGCAGUGGAUACUGGCGGACUAGAGUGUGAUAGAGGAUGGUGGAAUUCCCGGUGUAGCGGUGAAAAUGCGUAGAGAUCGGGGAGGAACACCAGUGGCGAAGGCGGCCUCUGGAUCAACACUGACGCUGAGGCACGAAAGCGUGGGGAGCAAACAGGG